UGGGGAAUAUUGGACAAUGGGGGCAACCCUGAUCCAGCCAUGCCGCGUGUGUGAAGAAGGCCUUUUGGUUGUAAAGCACUUUAAGCAGUGAAGAAGACUCCAUGGUUUAUACCCAUGGACGAUGACAUUAGCUGCAGAAUAAGCACCGGCUAACUCUGUGCCAGCAGCCGCGGUAAUACAGAGGGUGCAAGCGUUAAUCGGAAUUACUGGGCGUAAAGCGAGCGUAGGUGGCUUGAUAAUUCAGAUGUGAAAGCCCCGGGCUUAACCUGGGAACGGCAUCUGAUACUGUUAGGCUAGAGUAGGUGAGAGGAAGGUAGAAUUCCAGGUGUAGCGGUGAAAUGCGUAGAGAUCUGGAGGAAUACCGAUGGCGAAGGCAGCCUUCUGGCAUCAUACUGACACUGAGGUUCGAAAGCGUGGGUAGCAAACA
RNAcentral lists this ribosomal RNA (427 nucleotides) under uncultured bacterium. RNAcentral describes it as "partial 16S ribosomal RNA". It matches the Rfam family "Bacterial small subunit ribosomal RNA", at positions 355 to 774 of the family's 1533-position model. The record is from RNAcentral.